ACCUAGCCGUAACNUUCGACGGACUGCACUACAACGCCCGCCCGCCAGAGAACUACAAGUGAAAAACUCGAAACUCAAAGGACUUGACGGUGUCCCACAUCACCCUAGAGGAGCCUGUCCUAUAAUCGAUACCCCACGUUUCACCUUUCCCCCUCUAGUACCCCAUCAGCCUAUAUACCGCCGUCGCCAGCCUGCCUAGUAAUAGACCCACAGCAGGCAUAAUAGUCCCCCACUAACACGUCAGGUCAAGGUGUAGCUCAUGGGGGGGUAAGAGAUGGGCUACAUUUUCUAAACACUAGAAAAUCCACCACAAGCUAUGUGAAACCACAGCCACCCGGCGGAUUUAGCAGUAAAUUCCGGCAAGAUGUGCCACAUUGAAGUUCGGCCCUGGGACGCGUACACACCGCCCGUCACCCUCCUCAACCGACAACCCACAAAACUAACUAAACCACCCCACCCCACACAAGACGAGGCAAGUCGUAACAUGGUAAGCCCACCGGAAGGCGGGCUUGGCUCAAC
Molecule: ribosomal RNA, 519 nt
Filed under: Phyllodactylus duellmani
Lineage: Eukaryota; Metazoa; Chordata; Lepidosauria; Squamata; Phyllodactylidae
Description: partial 12S ribosomal RNA
Rfam family: Bacterial small subunit ribosomal RNA (bases 48-512)
Source: RNAcentral